Limulus polyphemus (Atlantic horseshoe crab) is the source of this 1149-nucleotide long non-coding RNA. RefSeq lists it as uncharacterized. The record is from RefSeq and is a predicted model, not a curated record. The transcript has 3 exons. Lineage: Eukaryota; Metazoa; Arthropoda; Merostomata; Xiphosura; Limulidae.
UUAGUACAUGAACACUUAAAACCAACAAGUUUACCGUAUGGCUUCAGUUACUAGUGUUUAACAUAUUAUUACAUGAACACUUAAAACCAACAGGUCUACCAUAUGGCUUCAGUUACUAGUGUUUUACUUAACAUUACAUGAACACAUAACACCAACAGGUCUACCGUAUGGCUUCAGUUACUAGUGUUUAACAUAUUAUUACAUCAACACUUAAAACCAACAGGUCUACCAUAUGGCUUCAGUUACUAGUGUUUAACUUAACAUUACAUGAACACACAACACAAACAGGUCUACCGUAUGGCUUCAGUUACUAGUGUUUUCAUAUAUUGAAGGCUGAUAGUGGCAAUACAAAGUACUCAGAAAUCACUGUAUGAUAGUAAUACAAACAUGAUUACAAAGUACUCAGAGAUCACUAUAUGACAGUAAUACAAACAUGAUUACAAAGUACUCAGAGAUCACUAUAUGAUAGUAAUACAAACAUGAUUACAUAGUACUCAGUGGUCAUUGUUUGAUAGUAUUACAAACAUGAUUACAUAGUACUCAGUGGUCACUGUAUGAUAGUAAUACAAACAUGAUUACAUAGUACUCAGUGGUCAUUGUUUGAUAGUAUUACAAACAUGAUUACAUAGUACUCAGUGGUCACUGUAUGAUAGUAAUACAAACAUGAUUACAUAGUACUCAGUGGUCAUUGGUUGAUAGUAUUACAAACAUGAUUACAUAGUACUCAGUGGUCAUUAUUUGAUAGUAUUACAAACAUGAUUACAUAGUACUCAGAGAUCACUAUAUGAUAAUAAUACAAACAUGAUUACAUAGUACUCAGAGAUCACUAUAUGAUAAUAAUACAAACAUGAUUACAUAGUACUCAGAGGUCACUAUAUGAUAAUAAUACAAACAUGAUUACAUAGUACUCAGAGAUCACUAUAUGAUAGUAAUACAAACAUGAUUACAUAGUACUCAGAGAUCACUAUAUGAUAAUAAUACAAACAUGAUUACAUAGUACUCAGAGGUCACUAUAUGAUAAUAAUACAAACAUGACUACUGAGUACUCAGAAGUCACUAUUUGAUAGCAAUAUAGCAGCAACAUGAUUACUGAGUACUCAGAAGUCACUGUCUGAUAGCCAUACAACAGCAACAUAGAUUACUGAGUAC